AUGGGCGCAAGCCUGACCGAGCGACGCCGCGUGGAGGAUGAAGGCCUUCGGGUUGUAAACUCCUGUCGAGGGGGAGGAAGGGGUAACCUUGACCGAUCCCUGGAGGAAGCACGGGCUAAGUUCGUGCCAGCAGCCGCGGUAAGACGAACCGUGCUAACGUUAUUCGGAAUCACUGGGCUUAAAGCGCGUGUAGGCGGAUGGGGACGUCGGUCGUUGAAAGCCCCCGGCUUAACCGGGGAACUGGCACCGAAACGCCCCGUCUGGAGGGACGUAGGGGGACCUGGAACUUCCGGUGGAGCGGUGAAAUGCGUUGAGAUCGGAAGGAACACCCGUGGCGAAAGCGAGGUCCUGGACGUUUUCUGACGCUGAGACGCGAAAGCUAGGGGAGCGAACGGGAUUAGAUACCCCGGUAGUCCUAGCUGUAAACGAUGGGCACUAGAUAGGGGGCUCGCCGAUGGGCUCCCUGUCGUAGGGAAACCGUGAAGUGCCCCGCCUGGGGAGUAU
This 504-nucleotide ribosomal RNA is filed under the name uncultured bacterium. Its description in RNAcentral is "bacterial SSU rRNA". It matches the Rfam family "Bacterial small subunit ribosomal RNA", at positions 371 to 883 of the family's 1533-position model. The record is from RNAcentral.